This 483-nucleotide ribosomal RNA is filed under the name uncultured bacterium. RNAcentral describes it as "partial 16S ribosomal RNA". It matches the Rfam family "Bacterial small subunit ribosomal RNA", at positions 29 to 523 of the family's 1533-position model. The record is from RNAcentral.
AGUGAACGCUGGCGGCGUGCUUAACACAUGCAAGUCGAACGAGAAACGGAUUUAGCUUGCUAAAUUGCAGUCUAAGUGGCGCACGGGUGAGUAAUGUAUAGAUAAUAUGCCUUUUACUAAGGGAUAACAGUUGGAAACGGCUGCUAAUACCUUAUAUGCCUUUAAUACAUAAGUAUGCAAGGGAAAGAUUUAUUGGUAAGGGAUUAGUCUGUAUUGUAUCCGUUAGGUGGUGAGGUAAUGGCUCACCAAGACUAUGACGCAUAACUGGUUUGAGAGGAUGCUCAGUCACACUGGAACUGAGACACGGUCCAGACUCCUACGGGAGGCAGCAGUGGGGAAUAUUGCACAAUGGGGGAAACCCUGAUGCAGCAACGCCGCGUGGAGGAUGACACAUUUCGGUGCGUAAACUCCUUUUAUAUAGGAAGAUAAUGACGGUACUAUAUGAAUAAGCACCGGCUAACUCCGUGCCAGCCGCCGCCGUAA